GUGUCAGCAGCCGCGGUAAGACGGAGAGGGCGAGCGUUGUUCGGAAUUACUGGGCGUAAAGAGCACGUAGGCGGGUCCGUAUGUCAGGGGUGAAAGCCCCCGGCUCAACCGGGGAACUGCCUCUGAAACUGCGGUCCUCGAGUGGAGCAGGGGGGAGUGGAACUCUCGGUGGAGCGGUGAAAUGCGUUGAUAUCGAGGGGAACGUCGGCGGCGAAGGCGACUCCCUAUGCUUCUACUGACGCUGAGGUGCGAAGCCAGGGGAGCGAACGGGAUUAGAUACCCCGGUAGUCCUGGCCCUAAACGGUGGGCACUAGGUAGUGGGGGCUCCGAUGGCUCCCUCUGCCGCAGCUAACGCGAUAAGUGCCCCGCCUGGGGACUACGACCGCAAGGUUAAAACUUAAAGGAAUUGACGGGG
RNAcentral lists this ribosomal RNA (415 nucleotides) under uncultured prokaryote. Its description in RNAcentral is "bacterial SSU rRNA". It matches the Rfam family "Bacterial small subunit ribosomal RNA", at positions 505 to 918 of the family's 1533-position model. The record is from RNAcentral.